GUGAGGAACCUGCCUUGGAGAGGGGAAUAACACUCCGAAAGGAGUGCUAAUACCGCAUAAUGCAGUUGGGUCGCAUGGCUCUGACUGCCAAAGAUUUAUCGCUCUGAGAUGGCCUCGCGUCUGAUUAGCUAGUAGGCGGGGUAACGGCCCACCUAGGCGACGAUCAGUAGCCGGACUGAGAGGUUGACCGGCCACAUUGGGACUGAGACACGGCCCAGACUCCUACGGGAGGCAGCAUG
Molecule: ribosomal RNA, 239 nt
Filed under: uncultured bacterium
Lineage: Bacteria
Description: partial 16S ribosomal RNA
Rfam family: Bacterial small subunit ribosomal RNA
Source: RNAcentral